This 460-nucleotide ribosomal RNA is filed under the name uncultured bacterium. Its description in RNAcentral is "partial 16S ribosomal RNA". It matches the Rfam family "Bacterial small subunit ribosomal RNA", at positions 338 to 795 of the family's 1533-position model. The record is from RNAcentral.
CCUACGGGAGGCUGCAGUGAGGAAUAUUGGUCAAUGGACGUAAGGCUGAACCAGCCAUGUCGCGUGCAGGAAGAAGGCUCUAUGAGUUGUAAACUGCUUUUGUACGAGAGUAAACGUAUCUACGCGUAGAUGUUUGCAAGUAUCCUAUGAAUAAGCAUCGGCUAACUCCGUGCCAGCAGCCGCGGUAAUACGGAGGAUUCGAGCGUUAUCCGGAUUUAUUGGGUUUAAAGGGUGCGUAGGCUGUUGUUUAAGUCAGAGGUGAAAGUUUGAGGCUCAACCUUAAAAUUGCCGUUGAAACUGGACGGCUUGAGUGUGUUUGAGGUAGGCGGAAUGCAUGGUGUAGCGGUGAAAUGCAUAGAUAUCACGCAGAACUCCGAUUGCGAAGGCAGCUUACUAAGCCAUAUCUGACACUGAAGCACGAAAGCGUGGGGAUCAAACAGGAUUAGAUACCCGGGUAGUC